This 796-nucleotide ribosomal RNA is filed under the name uncultured archaeon. RNAcentral's name for it is "bacterial SSU rRNA". It matches the Rfam family "Archaeal small subunit ribosomal RNA", at positions 85 to 879 of the family's 1478-position model. The record is from RNAcentral.
ACGGCUCAGUAACACGUGGAUAACCUGCCCUUGGGUCCGGCAUAACCCCGGGAAACUGGGGAUAAUUCCGGAUAACGCACAUAUGCUGGAAUGCUUUAUGCGUAAAAUGGAUUCGUCUGCCCAAGGAUGGGUCUGCGGCCUAUCAGGUAGUAGUGGGUGUAAUGUACCUACUAGCCUACGACGGGUACGGGUUGUGAGAGCAAGAGCCCGGAGAUGGAUUCUGAGACAUGAAUCCAGGCCCUACGGGGCGCAGCAGGCGCGAAAACUUUACAAUGCGGGAAACCGUGAUAAGGGGACACCGAGUGCCAGCAUCCUAUGCUGGCUGUCCGGGUGUGUAAAAUACACCUGUUAGCAAGGGCCGGGCAAGACCGGUGCCAGCCACCGCGGUAACACCGGCGGCCCGAGUGGUGAUCGUGAUUAUUGGGUCUAAAGGGUCCGUAGCCGGUUUGGUCAGUCCUCCGGGAAAUCUGACAGCUUAACUGUUAGGCUUUCGGAGGAUACUGCCAGACUUGGAACCGGGAGAGGUAAGAGGUACUACAGGGGUAGGAGUGAAAUCUUGUAAUCCCUGUGGGACCACCUGUGGCGAAGGCGUCUUACCAGAACGGGUUCGACGGUGAGGGACGAAAGCUGGGGGCACGAACCGGAUUAGAUACCCGGGUAGUCCCAGCCGUAAACGAUGCUCGCUAGGUGUCAGGCAUGGCGCGACCGUGUCUGGUGCCGUAGGGAAGCCGUGAAGCGAGCCACCUGGGAAGUACGGCCGCAAGGCUGAAACUUAAAGGAAUUGGCGGGGGAGCAC